This 253-nucleotide ribosomal RNA is filed under the name uncultured bacterium. RNAcentral describes it as "partial 16S ribosomal RNA". It matches the Rfam family "Bacterial small subunit ribosomal RNA", at positions 524 to 776 of the family's 1533-position model. The record is from RNAcentral.
UACGAAGGGGGCUAGCGUUGUUCGGAAUCACUGGGCGUAAAGGGCGCGUAGGCGGCCGAUCAAGUCGGGGGUGAAAGCCUGUGGCUCAACCACAGAAUUGCCUUCGAUACUGUUUGGCUUGAGACCGGAAGAGGUAAGUGGAACUGCGAGUGUAGAGGUGAAAUUCGUAGAUAUUCGUAAGAACACCAGUGGCGAAGGCGGCUUGCUGGUCCGGUUCUGACGCUGAGGCGCGAAAGCGUGGGGAGCAAACAGG